This 1508-nucleotide ribosomal RNA is filed under the name metagenome. RNAcentral's name for it is "SSU rRNA". It matches the Rfam family "Eukaryotic small subunit ribosomal RNA", at positions 20 to 1403 of the family's 1831-position model. The record is from RNAcentral.
GUAGUCAUAUGCUUGUCUAAAGGAUUAAGCCAUGCAAGUGUAAGUAUAAAUAACUCGUACUUAUGAAACUGCGAACGGCUCAUUAAAACAGCAAUAAUCUAAGUGGAUGAUAGAAGAUCUACAAGGAUAACCGUAGUAAAUCUAGAGCUAAUAUUUGGGUAAAGGGGGGACUUUUAGGAACCUCUGUGAAUAUUAGAUGGAAAAACCAACAUUUGAUGGUGAAUCGAGAUAUUUUGGCUGAGCGUCGGGCAACCGACGCCGAUCCACAUGAGUUUCUGACCUAUCAACUUUCGAUGGGAGUGUAGAGGACUCCCAUGGUAUUAACGGGUAACGGAGAAUUAGGGUUCGAUUCCGGAGAGGGAGCCUGAGAGACGGCUACCACUUCUAAGGAAGGCAGCAGGCGCGCAAAUUACCCCAUCUCGAUUCGAGGAGGUAGGACAAGAAAUAACAAUACGGGACACGAUACGUGUCUUGUAAUUGGAAUGAGUACAAUCUAAAUACAUUAACGAGUAACAAUUGGAGGGCAAGUCUGGUGCCAGCAGCCGCGGUAAUACCAGCUCCAAUAGCGUAUAUUAAUGCUGCUGCAGUUAAAACGCUCGUAGUUGAAGUUUGGGGCUUGCACGGCUAGGUCCUCCUCGAAGGAGUGCACCGGUCGGGCGGUUCUGUAAGGGGGAAUGUGGGGGCAGCUCGUUAACUCGGGCUGCUUCGGGGGAGGGGCAACCUGACUCCGGGGAGGGCUUUGGAAAGGCGGGGUGUAACAGCUCCGACUUGCCAGGGUUCUUCAUCGCUUCCCCAAGUUUACCUUGAAAAAAUUAGAGUGUUCAAAGCAGGGCUUAGGCCUAUUGAAUAAUGCAGCAUGGGAUAAUGGAAAAAGACAGUUGUUCUAUUUUGUUGGUUAUGUGGAGCGAUUGUAAUGAUUAAUGGGGACAGUUGGGGUGGUUUGUAUUGCUGCGUCAGAGGUGAAAUUCUUAGAUUGCAGUAAGACAAACUUCUGCGAAGGCAUUCCACAAGGAUGUUUUCGUCAAUCAAGAACGAAAGUUGGGGGAUCGAAGACGAUCAGAUACCGUCGUAGUCUCAACUGUAAACGAUGCCGACUGAGGAUUAGGAAAAGUUUUUUUCACAUGACUCUCCUAGCACUCUACGAGAAAUCAAGAGUCUUUGGGUUCCGGGGGGAGUAUGGUCGCAAGGCUGAAACUUAAAGGAAUUGACGGAAGGGCACCACCAGGCGUGGAGCCUGCGGCUUAAUUUGACCCAACACGGGGAAACUUACCAGGUCCAGACAGCGUAAGGAUUGACAGAUUGAGAGCUCUUUCAUGAUUCGUUGGGUGGUGGUGCAUGGCCGUUCUUAGUUGGUGGUGUGAAUUGUCUGGUUGAUUCCGCUAACGAACGAGACCUUAACCGAACACUAGCAACUACGACUUAUUGCGCAAAGGCGGUGAGGGCCUUUUUCCAGAAGGAUCCGUUCCCUGGGGGAAGUGCUCCUUGCCGUUGCAUUGGUAGUAGGAUUA